Molecule: unclassified non-coding RNA, 242 nt
Filed under: Hevea brasiliensis (rubber tree)
Lineage: Eukaryota; Viridiplantae; Streptophyta; Magnoliopsida; Malpighiales; Euphorbiaceae
Source: RNAcentral
GAAAUUAUUAUUUUUUUUGCCUCAUUUUCGCUCACACUAAAAAAAAUCGGUUGUUCAACCACCAUUUGGAUCUAUUACAAAAAUAUCAUUGCUAUCACAGCGAUCUGCUUUCUGGAGAAGAGGACUUACCUUUUACUGGAAAUUGCCAAAACUGCAUUUGUGGAUGUUACGUUGUAGUUUAGAAAGAUUUUUUAAUAUGAAAACCUAUUAUUGCAGAUUAUAGAGAUUUUUUGUGAAACAAA